AUUGCACCAUUGCACUCUAGCUUGGGUGACAAGAGUGAAACUCCGUCUCAAAAACAAACAAACAAAAAAAUGUGCCUGGCAUAGGACUUAGGAGAGAGUCAGCACCACCUGAAAGGCACUCCAGGAAAAAUACUGGCAAUGUGAAGGAUUGUUAGUGACAUGAUGCCACUUCCAGGGUGAACACCAGCCUAGCUCCAGCCCAAAUCCACAUGCUUCUGGGAGCACUGGGAUUUGGACUGCAGUUCAUCUUGCUUGCAAGAGCCACCAUGCUGCACCAUCAUCCCUCUCACUUGUCAGUGCUCCUUAGCCGUCAGUGCUCCUUAGCCGAGUACAGUUCUGACUGCCAUGCGACCAAGACCCGGAGCUUACAUGCUCCUUAUUGGAAACAGAAGGAAAACUCUUGUGUGAUAGGAAGAAGGCACUGAGUAGAGGCUGUUCCCCGGGAAUUAUCCAAGAAUCACAGCUCAGCCGAGGACUUUCUGGUACUGUGCAUUUCAGAUUUUAAAUUUCACGGUUAUAAUAACCAUCUUGCACAAAGGCAGCCGAAACCCAACCAACUGAAAACACGGGCACACACAUACCGUAUAUACCACGCAUACAUGCAUGUCAGCCACACACAGAUGAUUUGCCUAGAAAUUUGUUUCUCCAGACCUUUUGGCAGAAUAGCUAUUUGUCAUGGGAGAGGGAGGAAAAUAUUUGCAUUCGUAAUAGGAAGAGUUUAUGGUUGUGAAUAAGCUCAUGUUUGAAAAAACAGUAAUAUUAGAUAUAUGGUUGCUGGCACUACACAAUUGCAGGAUGUAAUAGUGGCUACUAACAUUAAACAUUACUUAAAAUUACAUGCAUUAUAGAAAUGGGGAUAUUUAUCUCAUGUUUAAUGAUCCGUGGUGAAAGGAUUUGUUGCUUACAAUCCUUAAAAUGAUCAAUAUAUUAUUUUAACACUUUUAAAAGGGAGUUGGUUUUUUGGUUGUGAGUUAGGAGCAGUUGUCAUGCACAUAUUUUAUAAUAAAAUUUUAGAUUUGUUGCCACAGUUUCAUUAAUAUAUUUAAGCAGGUGUGCCCAGGUAGUGGAAUCAGAAAGGCAACUCGAUUUUAUUUAAAAUAUGGUUCAAGUGGUCUCUGUAAUGAGAAAUUCACAUGGCUUUUUUUUUUUUUUCUAAUGAGUUUCCUGCUGGCUUCGGAGAUGUGGUUGUUUACAGUAGAAGUAUUUUUUUUUUCCAUUUGAGGCUUCCAUUAUUAUUAUAAGAUCAAUAAUAAAUACACUGAAUUUAUGUCUGUUAAAUAUUUUUAGCCUGCUCCUAACACAUGAAAAUAUUACAUACCUGUUUUGAUCUAUUUGUAUUCUGUUCCUUCCAAGUUUUUCUAUUUUAAAGGAAAAUUCUUGAAGGCCACCUUUUAAGGUUUCUCUAAUUGGCACAUCUCUGGUCAUUAACUUUUUACUUUUAAAGGAGAGCAGAAAGACAGAUUGUAAAAACAAAAAGUAGAUAUCUAGUUUAUUUUGCUACUUGAUAAGAAAAAAAUCUCCAAUUCUUGCAUACUAUUUGCAGUUAACUUUAUUCAGCCUUUAGAGGAAAAUGUCUCUUCCUUUCCAGAAUUCAAGCCCCAUAAUUUUGUCUUCCUGUUGAGUGUCAACAAUUUUUUUAAAGCCUAUAUGAGGAAGCUAACUUCCGAGCAAUUAAGUACUCAAGAACCAGAAUUGAAUUUAGUCAUUUUUAUAUUUAUAACUAAUACACAUUUUGAGUUUCAUCACAACUUGAACUAUGUCUGAGGAGUUGCACAUGAAGGAUUUUAUUACUUGAUUAAUAUAUUAAAUGCACUAGGAAAAUUUCCUCGUAAAGUUUCAUUAAAGAGUUAAGAUAGUCCUUUAUUUCAUGCGUACAUUGAAGUUAUGUAUAAUGGUGGCUGUGAAAUGUUUUCUAAAUUUCAGGUGGCUCUUGAUUUUCUUUGUGUUUUCAUUUGUGGCUUGGAAAGAAAAACAAAGGUCAAGUUACUCUCAUCCUUUAUCACCCAGUGUUUCAUGAAGGAAGCCUCAUUUUCAUGAGGAAAUCUUGGCGUGUCUACUCCAGCUUGUGUAUUUUGGCAGUAUGGAAAAGCGAAACACGGUUCCUGCUGCGCCCACUGCUUUUUGUGUAAGAUCUAUUUUGUAUUGGGUAACCUUGGCAUUCAGUGUUUUCACAUUUAAUUCGUAACUGUCUGCAAGUUGUUAUGAAGCUGAAAUUGAUGAUCCAUCAGUUCAGUCUAAAGAGCGUGUUGGAAUCAUGAUUUGAUAUUUUCUGGAAAGAGUUUACUUUUUGAAAGGAUGCCCUUAGCUCUUUUUCUAAUGUCUUCAGAAGAAAAAAAAUGGUUUACUAUUUUCAGAAAAAAAAGGCGAUGUACUCACUGGUCUAUUUUCUGUGAUCAAAAUGUGUUGACCACCUACCCCUGGUGUGUGUUUCUGAGCGUCCUUGGCAGCCUCUGCCUUCACAACCAUUCUCUUUUCAAAUUCCUCUCCUUUUCCCUUUCCCGUUUGUGCUAGUAAAGACUCUUGGAAGCAUCAGGCCCUGAUGAGCUGAAGCCCCCAUUCCAGGGGUCUUUGGCUGCUGCAUUUCUGACUUGAGCCACACAGCGAAGACCUUCUGACCUAUGGCUUCUGACCUAUUGGCCUUCAUGGCCCAUGGCUGCCUUCCGAACUAUUAUUUAUGGUGGGCAUUGAGGGAUUCUGUUUGUUGGCCAUGCCUUAAUGCUCUGUUUUUUGAGGCCUUAACACAGUAGUUGAAAUUUCUUGGCCAAAUUGGAUAGAGAAUGUGAAAUAGAUACUGUAGAAGCACUUCAGAACACUCUGUCAUGAACUAUGGGAUAAUAAUGAAGACUUCCCAGACUGACUGGUAAGUAGUCCGUAAGGAAGACUUGUGGAAAUAAACCCUGAAAAAUAUGGUUUAUGCAUUUGAUGUUGGAAUAGAAGAAAUUAUUUUGUUUCUAUGUUUCAACAGCCUAUCUUUCCAUGAGUAUUGAAAACAGUGCUUCUAUUUUUUACAUUAUUGGAUUCAUCUUUACACUCAAGUGAUUACUAACUUGGUUAAUAAAACUGUUGUGUUUUCCUUUUCUUUUUUUGUCUUUGUCACGGCUCUCUAUCUCAUAUGUUCUGUUUCUGGUACUCUAUCAUCUGUACGACACUGCUGAAAGUGAAGGCUCCCACCUGACGCCCCAGCUUGCUGAUUAAAUUUAGGUUAGGCUGAUGAUUUAAGGAGUAAACCAUCUCACCAGCACUGUUCCAGUUCUUCACUGGUGAACCAAUGGUAAUGUCUGGGUUGAGAGUUACAAACUGAAAUCCAGGAGAAAUGCUGAUCUUCCCUGUCUUGCUAAUCUACCUUGUACUGGAACCCAGAAUCAGGUUCCUAAAUUCUAGAUUACACAGCCGUGACAGAAGGCAUUGAGAAAUCAGAGAGGCACAUACUUCUCCAACACAUACUCAGGUUUCCUCAAGAAUAUUUGUCAUAAUAUUUGUAGCUUGUCCAGUUUGAUCUGCAUGGAGUUGUCAUAAGAAAGUCUUUGUGGCUGAGGAUUUGGUAAAAUGCAGCAUGCUGGUGAGAGUUAUAUCUCUUGUUUAAAACAAAACAAAACCUGAAACAACCAGGGCCUGAAAGCCGCACUGUGUUCCCAAGACUCCGCAACAGCCACAGGGCAUUUUAGCAGAGAAAACAAAGCUUGUUUUAUAGCUUCUCUUCAUAGGUCUCCCUGACAGGCUUAGAGGGACAUUGAGUGAAAAUGGAGCUGUUAAUGAUAUAAUAAAUGCUUCUGAAAUUUUUCUAUUGGGCAAUCCCUCAAUAGCUGACUGCUUUGAAAAAUGAAUGAAAAUCAAACAUAAAGACACAAAUGGCUUCGUCUGCUUGGUAAUGAAUAAACAUAUGCAAAAGGACAAUCAGUUGCAGGUGUGUUGCCUGUCUAUAGUGUUUUGUUUCUGCUUUUGUGUUUGUCUUCCAAGCAAUUAAUAAACCAGCCUGGCCUAUAAUAUCGUUCUGGAAACAUUCUUUUUCACAGGCUCAGACUUGGAGAUUUAGCCUUAAUGCUUUCUUUUCUUGUUUUAGUUAAAAAAACCCACCUACAUAAAAUUUACCACCUUCAUCGUUUUUAAGCAUACAGUUCAGUAGCUUUUCGUAUUUUCACAUUGCUGUGAAACAGAGGUCCAGAACUUUUUCAUCCUGCAAUCUGAAACCCUAUUCCCACUCAACAACUUCCCAUUUCCCCCUCCCUUGGCCCCUGGUAAGCACCAUUUUGUUUUCUGUUUCUGCGAAUCUGUUGCCUGAUUUCUUUUCCACACGUGCUGGUUCCUGCAUCUCCUCUCCUGAUUCACUACAAUUGGGACUAAUCAUGCCUUUCAGGAGGAGAGAACAAUAUGUAAUUUUCACAGUGGUUUUUAUAAAAUAGAGUACCUGGUACGUGCCCACUAGGAUAUGCAGCUCCAAUAAACUUUUCUGUUGGCAUAAUUCUUUAGAAUAUGUUAAAGUCAUCUCACGUAGUUGAGGAGUUAGAUGGUGAAGGCAGAUCUAAGCUUUUAAAACUAGAUCAUUUUGCUGCCUGUGUCAGCUAGAAUUGAGUCUCAACUGUCCAAUUCCUAGGCAAACCUCUGAACUCAUCUUCUUUUAGGGCAUGUAUAAUUUUUGACAGAUGACAGAUCUGUUUUAAAAAUGUGCUUAUUGUCCUUUGGUAUUUUAAUUUGAUUUGUUUUGAGCACUCAUGUUAUUGUUUAUAAAUGUGGGCCAAAUGCAUUUAAUGAGUACACGCAAUUGGUAGAAUACUGUCGCUCUGAAUAACCUUAACUCUCUAUGGAAGGAGACACACUCCAUUUUCAUUUGUGUAAAUUCUUUGCUGUAGGUCACCACUGUAGAUUCACAUUUCGAAUGCUGUCAAAUCAUAGAAGUAUUAAAAAAUAUUUGUUUUUAAAGAUGGCUCUUAUUGCUUGCAUUGCUUUUUCAGAAACCUCUCUCUGUUUUCCAAUACGGCUUUUAUGUCAGUGCUGGUAUUAGGUCACUGUAGGCUGCCCAUGUCACUAAAUUUAGUUUAUAAUUUCACAGGAUUUUUUUUAAAAUGUGUCAUCGAAACCCAUGUUUCUUAGUAUAUAUCUUACAUUUGCCUUCAAUUUUCAAACAGCUAACUUUUGCAGUGAUGAUACCUACAUAAAAGGGAAUUAUCAUUAAAACGGUGCUUGUUAGGAUGGUUUACUUUAAGAUAAGGCUUCAUAACAAGGGACUUAAACUGAGCAAAAAACUCAAAACCAGUGUGAGUUAACAAUGGAAUGUGCUAAAUCUCAGGCUUCCUUCUCUUGGCCAGAUUUUAAAACAAUCACAUUGAGAGCAACAAAGUUAACUGGUGAGCCAGUUUAAAGGGAACUGAAGUUUCUGAUAAAGUCUUUCCCUCUUGUCCAUGGGGGAUACAUUCCAAGACCCCAGUGGAUGCCUGAAGCCAUGGAUAGUACCAGACCUGAUUGCUGUCACUCUGGACACGUUUCUGUUGUCAGCUGAAGGAUGAGACAGUUUGUAAAUUUGGAAAGGAGCUUUUUGUUUCUCAUAAAGGGUCGCAGCCUGCAAAGCGGGCAUUCUGACAGGCUAGGAAGCAUAGCUUCUGGUCAGAAGCCAGAAACAGACACUUCAGAGGGGAAGAAUAAGACAACAAUUUAUGCUGAAUGGGGUGGGUAAUAGGCAUAUUCAAUAAGCUAUGGGGGAGUCAUGAAUAUUCAUGAAACGAGAACCAUGCGCACGCGAUUGAGAUUCACGGUCCCAUGUUCAAAACAUGGCAGUGUUAGCAUGAUCCAAGGGCAGAGUUUUCUGGACUCUAAUGUGUUAAGCUGAAGCUGAGGACACGCAGGCCCUCACUGCACAGCCCCCACAGGCUGGUGGAAUGCUGGUUUGUUGUUUCAUUGACAUCACAAAAGGGAGGGGUGGUGUCAGUCUGUUGGUUAAGUCCUAGGUGGAAUCUUUGGAAAGAACUGGCUUUUGUUCAGCCCUUAGGGAAGAAAGCCUGUGGCCUUUAGCAAGCAAGGAUGGGGGUGUAACCAGGCUCAUCAGACCUCCCAUCCCCUCACAGCCACAGACCCAGCUUUAAGUUUCCCAGACGGAAGAUUAUUCUUACUGCAGAUCUUAGCAACCUCAGCACAUGACUCUUUUUCUUUCCUCAUUAAGUCAAGAACCUUUGGCCUUUUCACUUAAAAGAAGCACUCUAAGGCUUCGCUUUGACAUACCCCAGUUGCCAGCAUCACUACUGUUUGGGACCAUUAGGAAGUAAAUUCAGGGAGACUUGAACACAAGCACUGCUUAUCUCGAAAGCUGAUCUGCUCACCGAGGUGGCCCUUGAGCACGGACAGCCUGGAUCUGCUGGAUCGGUUCUUGGGGAAAAGCUGUGCUUCAGAGACAAGGUUGAAGAACUUCGCCUGCAUAUGAUGGAAGAUGACAAUGGGAACCACAGGUGUCAUUGGUGGCUUUGUUUUACAAAGUCUUCACCUUUCUGCUGAGUCACGGGACUAAGUUCAACACAAUUUCUACUUUCCGCCUUCCUUUGGAAUAAUAGUUUUGGAAGCCAAGUAUUAGUAUAUGAUACCAGGUGUGUUUUCUAAAGAUUCAGGUUCAGUGGGCUGAAUGCACUUUCAUGACUUCAUUAGACCACUGAGCCCAAGGAGAAAAGUGCCAAUCUUACUAGACAUGAGGAAAAAGACACAUCUUUUGCUCUUGCUGGAAGUGGUGUCCUACUUUCUACAAGCAGUCGUCAUCUGGUUUAUACUUGCCUUGUUCAGUUUUUGUGUGAUAUUUUAUUCUCUGCCUAAUAGAUAUUAAAGUAUCAAGCUGUCAA
This 6815-nucleotide long non-coding RNA is filed under the name Homo sapiens (human). RNAcentral describes it as "HSALNT0374705". Lineage: Eukaryota; Metazoa; Chordata; Mammalia; Primates; Hominidae. The record is from RNAcentral.